GCUCCCUGGUGGUCAGUGCAUGUUAUAGCUAGUGGUUGAGCGGCCUUAGCAUAUCAUUAACAUAUUACACUUUGCUUGGUUGAACGGACAAACAGAUGUCUGGGCACUUAGCAUAUUAGGCUUUUAUUAUAUAGGAUUGGCAUAUAUGAAUUA
Long non-coding RNA from Myotis davidii, 153 nucleotides. RefSeq lists it as uncharacterized. The transcript has 3 exons. Lineage: Eukaryota; Metazoa; Chordata; Mammalia; Chiroptera; Vespertilionidae. The record is from RefSeq and is a predicted model, not a curated record.